AGGUGUGAAUGUGAGUGUGAAUGGUUGUCUGUGUCUAUGUGUCAGCCCUGUGAUGACCUGGCGACUUGUCCAGGGUGUACCCCGCCUUUCGCCCAUAGUCAGCUGGGAUAGGCUCCAGCUCGCCCGCGGCCCUGUAGGACAGGAUAAAGCGGCUAGAGAUAAUGGAUGGAUUUCUACAUUAUUGAGUCAGUACAAAAACACUUGAGUUCCAAAUAUUUGUUUUACAGCAAACAAAAAUUAAAUGUUAUGGGGGGGGGUUUGUAUCUGAGCAGCAUAUUACAUAAGAGAGCACUUUUCAGAUUAAAAAAGAAAACAUAACGAAGGCUGCUGGGUUUUGCUGCAAAAUUAAAAAGCAAAUGUGACGGUCAAAGUGUCCAGAAGAACUGUGGCCGGUUCUGCAAGAUGCUCAGUAAAACCUACAACUCAUUUCCUUAUAAAACUGCACUCAUUGUACCUGAGACUUUUUUUUUAAAAAGCAAAGGGUCGUCACACACCAAAUACUGACUUUUCCAUUUAUUAUGGCUUACUUCUGUAGAUUUUUUUUUUUUAAAUGUUGAAACAUUUAAUUUUUCAACCAUUUUUGGUCUACAGCAUUUCUUUACAUGUGCCUAAGACUUCUGCACAGUUGUGUGUGUGUGUAAAAUCUUUAUAUACCAAUGGUGCCAAUAAUUCUAGAGCUGCCUGUAUAUUCUGAAAGCACAUUCCUGAUUUACAUAGCUGCAGAUCUCAGUUAUGACUUCUGGUGAAUUUAUUCUAAGUUUUUCUUUUUCCUCUGUACUUCUGUCCAAAUUGUUCGAUCUUGUAUUCUUUCUUCUAGAGGAAAAAAGCAUCUGAAGGACCACUGUUAAAGGGUAUAGAGCUUUCAGUAGCUUCAGACAGUUCCCUUAUUCGUGUGGUGUUGUUGCAGCAAUGAAGGCAGGGCAGUCCAGCGGAAACACUCGACACCUAACAGAAGUGUGCGUUAAAGCUAGCGGAAGUGCAGGAAGUCCACUGGGUGCUCAGAGCUGUGGUUAAGGCUGUACACCAGCAAACUCCAGAGAAAGACUGUAAAGCCUCAAAUUUCUCCAAAUCCGAGUCUUUUUACAUCUAAGAAAUGAUUGCAUGCUAUUUUAUUCCAGCUUGCGCAUUUGCAAGAACGUUGGGCUUCAAGAGUCUCAGGACCUCGGUGUGGUUUCCUGCCUUGGCUGCAUGGUAUGCGAAUGGCAGUUUUCAGCAAUAAACUGGGUUGCUUAUUCUAGCACCCUCUCCCACCACAGCCAGCAGGAAAUCACCCCAGGAAGAAGUGAAAGAAGGAGCAGGGGCAGGGGACGAAGGUAUAAAACCGUGGGUUUGUCUUUUUAAUGAUUUUAACAUCAUACAUUACAAGUCAAAAGGUACAAUGCUCUGUACAAUAAGUAAAUAGGUUUCGUUGUAAUGUCAUCUCUUUGGAUCAACCAAUAUACAUAUCUGUCUCUUUACAUUGCAGCAACUGAUUGUAGGUGAUACAAAGUGGACUGGUUGUCAUAUACUUUUUUUUUUUUUAAUACAAUUCUCCCUGUAGCUGAUAAAUCCCAUGCUAUAUAAAAUAGUGUAAGGAUGAAAUGAAAAUGUCCCAUUUUUGUUCUUUCGCCUUUUUUUUUUUUUUUCCCUUUCCCGGGGUGGCAGUAAUAAACAAAUACUAAAGAUAAGAGGACUAUGUUGCUAAACAAGAUACAUAAAGAGCUUGGAAUGCAAGACUUACAUUAAGCUAAAAUAAAUGCAACUACAAUUUGAUGUCUCUUUUGACAGACAGCAUAUUUUUCUCUUCAAGAAAGUAACGUCUUUCUUUCCUUAAGUCGGAUCGUAAUUUUUUUUUUCGUCCUUACAUCAGUGAUAUUUUAAUAAUUUCUUUUUAAUAGCUUAGACACCUACGCAUGUUGGGAGAAAUAAGAUAAGUGCAUCCCUAGUAGGUGCAAUGGAGAUAAAGGACUUUUUUUUUUUUUAAAUCAAAGGAAGUCAGGAUACAUGAUUAUAGAGAGGGUAUCAAACUGGAAAUCAAAAACUUUCCCUUCAGCACAACACAGUUUUGUUUUGUUUUUCCUCUCUUCCAAUGGACUCUGAACUAUCGCAGGUGACUAAAAGUGGAGCCGCUUGAGGUUUUUUGUUGUUGGGUUUUUUUUUUUCUCCCUUAAGUAUACUUGGAUAUUGGCUAAAAGUUCUCAGUGGGUGAGAGGCCUCUUUUUAAAAGGGCGCAGAAGCACAUCUGAGAGAUUGGCCUGGAAAAAAAAAAUCUUUCGCCUUUUUGAAGCUUCCUCUUUACCUCGAGUACAACUGACGACGAGAUACAAAUGCUGCACUGCUUGAAUGCCUCUGUCAGGAACUCGACUACGCAUCACCGUCUUUGCCAAAAUCCCCCUGACAUCCGAGCUCCACCCUGGUUUGUGCUUAUAUCUUUGUACACAGGGUUCACUCAAUCCGGUAAUAAAUGUUAUAAAAAUAAAUCUGUCACUUCUGUAAUAUUUAGCUGAUUUUAAAAAAAUAGCUUGUGACAGGAACUGAUGUUUUGUUCUCUCACUCGCUCCCUUCUUUUUUUCAGAAAUAGCAAGUUGCAGCUUUGAAUUGUGUUAAACUGACUUUUACAGCAAGGGCUUCAGAGAUAAGCUAAGCACAAGCACGUUUGCUGUUCCUAAAAUCCGCAAAGAAAGAAGAGGUGGGGCAAAAUGCAGCAAAUAUUAGUUAGUCUAUCAAAAAAAAUACUGUUACUCCUUUGGAAGAGGAGGGGAAAAAUUACAUAUAGAUUAAUAAAUUCUACACAUUGAACUAAUGGCACAUACAUGUACAAGGUCAAAUACAAAAUUUAAAAAAAAAAAAUCAUCAUACAGACAUAUAAGGCUGAUAUUUCAAGGAAAAAAAAAAUACUCUCUUCAAAGGUUUAAAAGUGCUAGAAUUCAGAUCAGCUCACAGAAAACCCGGGGAGGACAAACUCAGAAGUUGCCAAUAGCUUGUUGGUGAAUAUUUUUCUCAUGUUUUCUUAAAAUCACACUUCUUUCUUUCUUAAGAAAAAUGCAUAGCUUUGCUUAGCUUUACGACUUAUACUGCCUAUGCAGUUUUAGACCUGUUUAGGAUUGUUAACGGUCAUUUUUCCUACACAUUAAUGUGACUUUUAGGACAUUUAAAUGUUUAAAAAAAAAAACUUUUUAUAUUUCAAAGUGCUUGUCAAAUAUAUUUUUUUUUUCCUCCGUUCACCAAUCACCAAUAAAGUGAUAGAAAGGGGAAUAAAUGCUUUAAAAAAUAACAAAAAAAACUCUUUUUGCUGAUGCAAUCCAAACACAAAGUUGUCUUUUUAAAAUUUGAAACAAGAUUUCACACUAUCCAAUUGUAAAUGCAGGAAUGUAAGGGCGGG
Molecule: long non-coding RNA, 3361 nt
Organism: Neoarius graeffei (lesser salmon catfish)
Lineage: Eukaryota; Metazoa; Chordata; Actinopteri; Siluriformes; Ariidae
Exons: 3
Source: RefSeq, a predicted model, not a curated record